GCGAAUCUCGAAAGCCUGUCUCAGUUUGGAUUGGAGGCUGAAACCCGCCUCCAUGAAGUUGGAUUCGCUAGUAAUCGCGCAUCAGCCAUGGCGCGGUGAAUACGUUCCCGGGCCUUGUACACACCGCCCGUCAAGCCAUGGGAGCCGGGGGUGCCUGAAGUUCGUGACCGCAAGGAGCGACCUAGGGCAAAACUGGUGACUGGGGCUAAGUCGUAACAAGGUAGC
Molecule: ribosomal RNA, 225 nt
Filed under: uncultured bacterium
Lineage: Bacteria
Description: partial 16S ribosomal RNA
Rfam family: Bacterial small subunit ribosomal RNA
Source: RNAcentral